Pollicipes pollicipes is the source of this 356-nucleotide long non-coding RNA. RefSeq lists it as uncharacterized. NCBI's taxonomy places the organism in Eukaryota, Metazoa, Arthropoda, Thecostraca, Pollicipedomorpha, Pollicipedidae. The record is from RefSeq and is a predicted model, not a curated record. The transcript is spliced from 3 exons.
GUCUGGACGGUGGGCGGGGGAGGGUGCGCGCGUCUGGCUCGUGACACAGGGCGCGUGGCUGGUGCCGAUCCAGAGUGGUGGCCCGAACACGUGACGAAGCACGCGGACGGACGUAGGCGAUACAGUGAGCGAAGACCCAGGCGCGAUGGUGGCGAUGUGGACCUGACCCCGCAGCCAUGACCUGCUCUACACUGGAACUCAUCAGCCCCCGGGCGCACUACGCUACUCAGGUUCUGGCCACACUGGCCGUCUCGAUGGGCCCGCUGGCGGUCGGGCUGGGCAAGGGCUACAGUUCGCCGGCGCUGGCCUCGCUGGCCGGGCCGGCGUCGCUGGGCGGCCUGGCCAUCUCGCCGGAG